Molecule: ribosomal RNA, 510 nt
Filed under: uncultured microorganism
Description: bacterial SSU rRNA
Rfam family: Bacterial small subunit ribosomal RNA
Source: RNAcentral
GAGUUUGAUCGUGGCUCAGGAUGAACGCUGGCGGCGUGCCUAAUUCAUGCAAGUCGAGCGAACGGACGAGAAGCUUGCUUCUCUGAUGUUAGCGGCGGACGGGUGAGUAACACGUGGAUAACCUACCUAUAAGACUGGGAUAACUUCGGGAAACCGGAGCUAAUACCGGAUAAUAUUUUGAACCGCAUGGUUCAAAAGUGAAAGACGGUCUUGCUGUCACUUAUAGAUGGAUCCGCGCUGCAUUAGCUAGUUGGUAAGGUAACGGCUUACCAAGGCAACGAUGCAUAGCCGACCUGAGAGGGUGAUCGGCCACACUGGAACUGAGACACGGUCCAGACUCCUACGGGAGGCAGCAGUAGGGAAUCUUCCGCAAUGGGCGAAAGCCUGACGGAGCAACGCCGCGUGAGUGAUGAAGGUCUUCGGAUCGUAAAACUCUGUUAUUAGGGAAGAACAUAUGUGUAAGUAACUGUGCACAUCUUGACGGUACCUAAUCAGAAAGCCACGGCUAAC